Molecule: ribosomal RNA, 215 nt
Filed under: uncultured bacterium
Lineage: Bacteria
Description: partial 16S ribosomal RNA
Rfam family: Bacterial small subunit ribosomal RNA
Source: RNAcentral
UCCCAGUUCGGAUUGCAGGUUGCAACCCGCCUGCAUGAAGCCGGAAUCGCUAGUAAUCGCGGAUCAGAAUGCCGCGGUGAAUACGUUCCCGGGUCUUGUACACACCGCCCGUCACACCAUGGGAGUCGGGAAUGCCCGAAGCCGGCGGCCUAACCGAAAGGGGGGAGCCGUCGAAGGCAGGCCCGGUGACUGGGGUGAAGUCGUAACAAGGUAGC